This 506-nucleotide ribosomal RNA is filed under the name uncultured bacterium. RNAcentral's name for it is "partial 16S ribosomal RNA". It matches the Rfam family "Bacterial small subunit ribosomal RNA", at positions 29 to 523 of the family's 1533-position model. The record is from RNAcentral.
AGUGAACGCUGGCGGUAGGCCUAACACAUGCAAGUCAAACGGCAGCACAGGAGAGCUUGCUCUCUGGGUGGCGAGUGGCGGACGGGUGAGGAAUACAUCGGAAUCUACUUUUUCGUGGGGGAUAACGUAGGGAAACUUACGCUAAUACCGCAUACGACCUACGGGUGAAAGCAGGGGACCUUCGGGCCUUGCGCGAUUGAAUGAGCCGAUGUCGGAUUAGCUAGUUGGCGGGGUAAAGGCCCACCAAGGCGACGAUCCGUAGCUGGUCUGAGAGGAUGAUCAGCCACACUGGAACGGAGACACGGUCCAGACUCCUACGGGAGGCAGCAGUGGGGAAUAUUGGACAAUGGGCGCAAGCCUGAUCCAGCCAUACCGCGUGGGUGAAGAAGGCCUUCGGGUUGUAAAGCCCUUUUGUUGGGAAAGAAAUUCAGCUGGCUAAUACCCGGUUGGGAUGACGGUACCCAAAGAAUAAGCACCGGCUAACUUCGUGCCAGCAGCCGCGGUAA